AACGAACGCUGGCGGCAGGCCUAACACAUGCAAGUCGAGCGCCCCGCAAGGGGAGCGGCGGACGGGUGAGUAACGCGUGGGAACGUACCCUUUGCUACGGAAUAGCCUCGGGAAACUGGGAGUAAUACCGUAUGUGCCCUUCGGGGAAAGAUUUAUCGGCAAAGGAUCGGCCCGCGUUGGAUUAGGUAGUUGGUGGGGUAAUGGCCUACCAAGCCGACGAUCCAUAGCUGGUUUGAGAGGAUGAUCAGCCACACUGGGACUGAGACACGGCCCAGACUCCUACGGGAGGCAGCAGUGGGGAAUCUUAGACAAUGGGCGCAAGCCUGAUCUAGCCAUGCCGCGUGAGCGAUGAAGGCCUUAGGGUUGUAAAGCUCUUUCGGCCGGGAAGAAAUCGCACAGGUUAAUACCCUGUGUGGAUGACGGUACCGGAAUAAGAAGCACCGGCUAACUACGUGCCAGCAGCCGCGGUAAAG
Molecule: ribosomal RNA, 473 nt
Filed under: uncultured bacterium
Lineage: Bacteria
Description: bacterial SSU rRNA
Rfam family: Bacterial small subunit ribosomal RNA
Source: RNAcentral